UGCUGGAGGUAUCAGAAGUGCGAAUGCUGACAUAAGUAACGAUAAAGCGGGUGAAAAGCCCGCUCGCCGGAAGACCAAGGGUUCCUGUCCAACGUUAAUCGGGGCAGGGUGAGUCGACCCCUAAGGCGAGGCCGAAAGGCGUAGUCGAUGGGAAACGGGUUAAUAUUCCCGUACUUGGUGUUACUGCGAAGGGGGGACGGAGAAGGCUAUGUUGGCCGGGUGACGGUUGUCCCGGUUUAAGCGUGUAGGUGUGUGUUCCAGGUAAAUCCGGUUCACUUUAACACUGAGGCGUGACGACGAGGCACUACGGUGCUGAAGCAACAAAUGCCCUGCUUCCAGGAAAAGCCUCUAAGCAUCAGGUAACAUCAAAUCGUACCCCAAACCGACACAGGUGGUCAGGUAGAGAAUACCAAGGCGCUUGAGAGAACUCGGGUGAAGGAACUAGGCAAAAUGGUGCCGUAACUUCGGGAGAAGGCACGCUGACACGUAGGUGAAGUGAUUUACUCAUGGAGCUGAAGUCAGUCGAAGAUACCAGCUGGCUGCAACUGUUUAUUAAAAACACAGCACUGUGCAAACACGAAAGUGGACGUAUACGGUGUGACGCCUGCCCGGUGCCGGAAGGUUAAUUGAUGGGGUCAGCGCAAGCGAAGCUCCUGAUCGAAGCCCCGGUAAACGGCGGCCGUAACUAUAACGGUCCUAAGGUAGCGAAAUUCCUUGUCGGGUAAGUUCCGACCUGCACGAAUGGCGUAAUGAUGGCCAGGCUGUCUCCACCCGAGACUCAGUGAAAUUGAACUCGCUGUGAAGAUGCAGUGUACCCGCGGCAAGACGGAAAGACCCCGUGAACCUUUACUAUAGCUUGACACUGAACAUUGAGCCUUGAUGUGUAGGAUAGGUGGGAGGCUUUGAAGUGUGGACGCCAGUCUGCAUGGAGCCGACCUUGAAAUACCACCCUUUAAUGUUUGAUGUUCUAACGUGGACCCGUAAUCCGGGUUGCGGACAGUGUCUGGUGGGUAGUUUGACUGGGGCGGUCUCCUCCUAAAGAGUAACGGAGGAGCACGAAGGUUGGCUAAUCCUGGUCGGACAUCAGGAGGUUAGUGCAAUGGCAUAAGCCAGCUUGACUGCGAGCGUGACGGCGCGAGCAGGUGCGAAAGCAGGUCAUAGUGAUCCGGUGGUUCUGAAUGGAAGGGCCAUCGCUCAACGGAUAAAAGGUACUCCGGGGAUAACAGGCUGAUACCGCCCAAGAGUUCAUAUCGACGGCGGUGUUUGGCACCUCGAUGUCGGCUCAUCACAUCCUGGGGCUGAAGUAGGUCCCAAGGGUAUGGCUGUUCGCCAUUUAAAGUGGUACGCGAGCUGGGUUUAGAACGUCGUGAGACAGUUCGGUCCCUAUCUGCCGUGGGCGCUGGAGAACUGAGGGGGGCUGCUCCUAGUACGAGAGGACCGGAGUGGACGCAUCACUGGUGUUCGGGUUGUCAUGCCAAUGGCACUGCCCGGUAGCUAAAUGCGGAAGAGAUAAGUGCUGAAAGCAUCUAAGCACGAAACUUGCCCCGAGAUGAGUUCUCCCUGAGACUUUAAGUCUCCUGAAGGAACGUUGAAGACGACGACGUUGAUAGGCCGGGUGUGUAAGCGCAGCGAUGCGUUGAGCUAACCGGUACUAAUGAACCGUGAGGCUUAACCUUACAACGCCGAAG
RNAcentral lists this ribosomal RNA (1688 nucleotides) under Salmonella enterica subsp. enterica serovar Virchow. RNAcentral describes it as "partial 23S ribosomal RNA". It matches the Rfam family "Bacterial large subunit ribosomal RNA", at positions 1271 to 2925 of the family's 2925-position model. The record is from RNAcentral. Lineage: Bacteria; Pseudomonadati; Pseudomonadota; Gammaproteobacteria; Enterobacterales; Enterobacteriaceae.